This is a long non-coding RNA of Papaver somniferum (opium poppy), 380 nucleotides long. RefSeq lists it as uncharacterized. The record is from RefSeq and is a predicted model, not a curated record. The transcript is spliced from 3 exons. Lineage: Eukaryota; Viridiplantae; Streptophyta; Magnoliopsida; Ranunculales; Papaveraceae.
UCAUCUUUGAUUUCCUGAUCUCUUAAGAACUCGUUCAUUCACAUUUUUCCUUCACAGAGUUUAUGGUAUGAACCCUAAUAUACCAUAAAUCAAAACCAGAAAUCAAAACUAACCUUUUGACAGGAAAUCUAUAAGCAUAUACCGAGUUUGGGUAACCUAAUCUCAGGGGUAUAUGUGCCUACUGUGGCUUCUCAAGUUGUGAAGGGUAACUAUCCUUACUGAUCCGAUGAACUGUGACUUAUACUUGAAAAACUAAAAGCACAAUCUUAGCAAAAAUGAGAACUUUUUCAGGUCUUGCAGCCGGUAUAAAGCCUGUACUGAACUUCAAGGGUUAUAUGGUAAGAAAUGAGGCAACUGAUUUGGAAUCACUCUAAGAUGGU